RNAcentral lists this ribosomal RNA (492 nucleotides) under uncultured bacterium. RNAcentral describes it as "partial 16S ribosomal RNA". It matches the Rfam family "Bacterial small subunit ribosomal RNA", at positions 29 to 507 of the family's 1533-position model. The record is from RNAcentral.
AGUGAACGCUGGCGGUAGGCCUAACACAUGCAAGUCGAACGGCAGCACAGUAAGAGCUUGCUCUUACGGGUGGCGAGUGGCGGACGGGUGAGGAAUACAUCGGAAUCUACUUUUUCGUGGGGGAUAACGUAGGGAAACUUACGCUAAUACCGCAUACGACCUACGGGUGAAAGCAGGGGAUCUUCGGACCUUGCGCGAUUGAAUGAGCCGAUGUCGGAUUAGCUAGUUGGCGGGGUAAAGGCCCACCAAGGCGACGAUCCGUAGCUGGUCUGAGAGGAUGAUCAGGCACAUUGGAACUGAGAAACGGUCCAGACUACUACGGGAGGCAGCAGGGGGGAAUAUGGGAAAAUGGGCGAAAGCCUGAUCCAGCCAUCCCGCGUGGGUGAAGAAGGUCUUCGGAUUGUAAAGCCCUUUUGGUGGGGAAGAAAGGAAGCAGGUUAAUACCCCGCUGUUUUGACGGUACCAAAAGAAUAAGCACCGGCUAACUUCGUG